RNAcentral lists this ribosomal RNA (465 nucleotides) under uncultured bacterium. Its description in RNAcentral is "partial 16S ribosomal RNA". It matches the Rfam family "Bacterial small subunit ribosomal RNA", at positions 28 to 507 of the family's 1533-position model. The record is from RNAcentral.
GACGAACGCUGGCGGUGUGCUUAACACAUGCAAGUCGAACGGUAAGGCCCUUUCGGGGGUACACGAGUGGCGAACGGGUGAGUAACACGUGAGUAACCUACCCUCAUCUCUGGGAUAACAGUCGGAAACGGUUGCUAAUACUGGAUAUGAGCCUGCAAGGCAUCUUGUGGGUUGGAAAGAUUUUUUGGUUGGGGAUGGACUCGCGGCCUAUCAGCUUGUUGGUGAGGUAGUGGCUCACCAAGGCUUCGACGGGUAGCCGGCCUGAGAGGGCGACCGGCCACAUUGGGACUGAGAUACGGCCCAAGCUCCUACGGGAGGCAGCAGUGGGGAAUAUUGCACAAUGGACGGAAGUCUGAUGCAGCAACGCCGCGUGCGGGAUGACGGCCUUCGGGUUGUAAACCGCUUUCAAUUGUGACGAAGCUUUUUGUGACGGUAGCAGUAGAAGAAGCACCGGCUAACUACGUG